Molecule: non-coding RNA, 104 nt
Organism: Rhodocollybia butyracea
Lineage: Eukaryota; Fungi; Basidiomycota; Agaricomycetes; Agaricales; Omphalotaceae
Source: the annotation of a GenBank genome assembly
GGUUCGGUGGUGUAGUGGUUAUCACGUCUGUCUCACAUCUGGCAUUAACUUCUCUUUAUGUGGAUGUACACAGGAGGUCCCCGGUUCGAGACCGGGUCGAACCA